Molecule: long non-coding RNA, 405 nt
Filed under: Nothobranchius furzeri (turquoise killifish)
Lineage: Eukaryota; Metazoa; Chordata; Actinopteri; Cyprinodontiformes; Nothobranchiidae
Description: lncRNA (ENSNFUG00015022340.1)
Source: RNAcentral
ACAUCUGUCAAGCCUGCAGACUCCCUGUGUGUGACGCACUGUCUCGAUGAGGGAAAGUCUAACAGGAAAGUCAGUCUAAAAAGGUCCCUGUGCAGCACGGGCCCAAGGUCAGAGCUGACAAUGGACACUUUGAUAGAGAAGCUGUGGAGAUGUAAAUCAGCCAAUAGAAGAAGACAAAACAACUGUCCUCCCCCCACCCCCCCACCCAACCAGAAAAAGGAGGAAUUUAGAUUUAAAAGAGUCAAUGAACACUGUGGAUGGAGAUGGGGAGGUGUGGGGAGGCAGAAGUUGUUAAAUGGUGCUGGGGGAACUAUUUCUGUCAGUCCGGCUCAUUCCUGGGAAAGUUUGGAGCAUCUUCCCUAUUGCUUGGCACCUGGAGUGGAUCGCUGGGAAUCUGAACAAUGA